GACCCCGCCAGCCCCAGCAUCGCGCGCCGCAUCCGCGGCCCCGCAGCUCCGCCCCCGGCCCGGCCCGGCCCCGGGCCCGCUCGCCCGCCGCCCCGCAUGGAGCUGUCAGCCAUCGGCGAGCAGGUGUUCGCCGUGGAGAGCAUCCGGAAGAAGCGCGUGCGGAAGGGUAAAGUCGAGUAUCUGGUGAAGUGGAAAGGAUGGCCCCCAAAGUACAGCACGUGGGAGCCAGAAGAGCACAUCUUGGACCCCCGCCUCGUCAUGGCCUACGAGGAGAAGUACGGUGUCCUCGGCACCGCCGGGUGGGGCUUAGGGCCGGCUCAGAGGCUUCCCAGGAGCCUGCUGCUGGCUUGGCAGGGGUUGUUGGGGCAGGGUGGGGGUGUCCGAUGGGGCAGGCCAGCCUGGCCUGCAGCUGGGUGAAAGUGGUGGGCACUGAUUCCCAGGGCAGCUGAGGACCCUGGGGCCCUUUCCUGUUGUUGGGUGAUCUUGGUCACUUCCUUUACCCACCCGGGCCUCAGUCUCUCUGCUG
RNAcentral lists this small RNA (526 nucleotides) under Pongo abelii (Sumatran orangutan). RNAcentral's name for it is "retained intron". The record is from RNAcentral. Lineage: Eukaryota; Metazoa; Chordata; Mammalia; Primates; Hominidae.